This 253-nucleotide ribosomal RNA is filed under the name uncultured bacterium. RNAcentral's name for it is "partial 16S ribosomal RNA". It matches the Rfam family "Bacterial small subunit ribosomal RNA", at positions 524 to 776 of the family's 1533-position model. The record is from RNAcentral.
UACGUAGGGUCCGAGCGUUGUCCGGAUUUACUGGGCGUAAAGAGCGCGCAGGCGGUCGUUCAAGUCGCGUGUGAAAGCCCCCGGCUCAACUGGGGAGGGUCACGCGAUACUGAUCGACUCGAAGGCAGGAGAGGGAAGUGGAAUUCCCGGUGUAGUGGUGAAAUGCGUAGAUAUCGGGAGGAACACCUGUGGCGAAGGCGGCUUUCUGGGCCUUACCUGACGCUGAGACGCGAAAGCGUGGGGAGCGAACCGG